RNAcentral lists this ribosomal RNA (424 nucleotides) under beta proteobacterium SCGC AAA278-C15. RNAcentral's name for it is "bacterial SSU rRNA". It matches the Rfam family "Bacterial small subunit ribosomal RNA", at positions 354 to 772 of the family's 1533-position model. The record is from RNAcentral. Lineage: Bacteria; Pseudomonadati; Pseudomonadota; Betaproteobacteria.
GUGGGGAAUUUUGGACAAUGGGGGCAACCCUGAUCCAGCAAUGCCGCGUGAGUGAAGAAGGCCUUCGGGUUGUAAAGCUCUUUUGUCAGGGAAGAAACAGCAGCUCUAACACAGUUGUGAAUGACGGUACCUGAAGAAUAAGCACCGGCUAACUACGUGCCAGCAGCCGCGGUAAUACGUAGGGUGCAAGCGUUAAUCGGAAUUACUGGGCGUAAAGCGUGCGCAGGCGGUUAUACAAGACAGGCGUGAAAUCCCCGGGCUUAACCUGGGAAUUGCGUCUGUGACUGUAUAGCUAGAGUGUGUCAGAGGGGGGUAGAAUUCCACGUGUAGCAGUGAAAUGCGUAGAUAUGUGGAGGAAUACCAAUGGCGAAGGCAGCCCCCUGGGAUAACACUGACGCUCAUGCACGAAAGCGUGGGGAGCAAA